RNAcentral lists this microRNA (20 nucleotides) under Tetranychus urticae (two-spotted spider mite). RNAcentral's name for it is "tur-miR-5738-5p". The record is from miRBase by way of RNAcentral. Lineage: Eukaryota; Metazoa; Arthropoda; Arachnida; Trombidiformes; Tetranychidae.
AAUGUAAUGAUAGCAAAAAC